This is a long non-coding RNA of Notolabrus celidotus (New Zealand spotty), 1992 nucleotides long. RefSeq lists it as uncharacterized. Lineage: Eukaryota; Metazoa; Chordata; Actinopteri; Labriformes; Labridae. The transcript is spliced from 3 exons. The record is from RefSeq and is a predicted model, not a curated record.
AAGCCAGCUCAUGUCACGUCGCCUGCGGCUUGAGAGGAUGGGUAGCCUUAGGGGUUGGUUGUUAUCUUUGGUUAUCUAGCUGUAUGAGUGAUGUACAUUCUUCAUAAAGCUAGAUAACCGAAAGUAACAAGAAUCCCAUUACACUCCUGAAAAGGCAUCAAGACCCCAAACGCAACUCCCUUUAAGAGAAUGCAAAGUUUGCAACGAGAGCUGGAAGACGAGGGGAGAGGACGGAAUUAAAAGGAGGCCGGAGCCGGAUGCACAAAAAGGCUCACCACCACCAGCACCAGCAGCAGCAGCAGCUUCACAUCACUGAAGGAAAGCUGGCAAAGGAGACUGAAAAAAAGAGAAGAAGGAGGAGGAGGGGUUGCUGUUGAUUCUGCCCUCCCUCUCUCCUCGCCCUCCUCUGCAUCGCCUCUUCCCUCCUCCUCCUCCUCCUCCUCCUCCCUUCCUCCUUCGCUCCAUCCUCAGCAGACUGCCCCCUUUUUCCUGUACGACGAGACGCAGCCCGCGCCACCAUCUUAGAGCAACACUGGCAUGAAAUGGAAGUGGAGAGCCCAGUCAAUGCAGGUGAGAUCUGGAGCUGAGGUGAGCUUGGGGAGGGACAGCGGGGACUCCUUCGUUCUGCAGCCAGGACGCCAUGAGAACAAUUGGGCGCUCACGUCUUGCACGCGACUCCUGCUGCUACUUUGGAGACCUCCGCUCUGAGUGAUGCUGAGCGAUGCACUAUGUGACCCAACGAGGGCUGAGGAAGCAUCAGGGUGGACUCAGACUUUGGGGAGGGAUGAUGAGCCGCUCUGCUGCAAAAUUGUGACUUCUUAUAUAUUAUUGUUUGUAUAAAAUGUGUAAGAAGAGCAGACUGUGCUCGCUCAUAUGUGUACAAAUUGUACAUUUUUAUUUGAAUGCUCUUUUUCAUCGUUUAUAUCCUCAUGUGUUUGUGUCAGUAAAUAUUAACAUACUCAGCUAACCUGUAGGUGAUAUUUGAUGAGUCGUAGCCCACCUUUAGUUCCUUUCCCUCUUUGGUUUUAGUUGCUAGGACUCAGAGACACGUGAAUGUGAGACCCACGGCAGCAGUGAAUCAAACUGCACUGCGAUUGGACGGCUCCGUGUGUCGGCUGACACAAUGGCGAAGGAGUGAGCGAGCUGUCGUCUUUAUACUCUAUGCAACUGUUUCAUCUUUACUUUGGUUCAAUCCCAGACGGGUGGAGUCUUUUUCAUCUCUCCUGAUCUGUGUUUUUAUUUUUGGGCUACCGUUUUUGGAAAGAAGCCUGCGUCCCCGUCGUUUAAUGCACCGAGUGUGUGUGAGUGACUGAUCUUACAGAUCCUCCUCUUUGAUUCUGAGUUUACAUGGACUCACAUGUUUUAAAACUCUAAGGUGUGUGUGUGUGUGUGUGUGAUCAGCUGAGGGUGAGACAUGACAAAUACAUCGGCUUCAACCACCGCCUUCAUUUCCUGUCCUCACACACACUCAAACGCAAUAAAGCGGAGGACUAUCGCAGCCUAAUUCAUUCUAUAUUAAUUUUCGGGAAGUGGCAAAUUUUUUAUUACGAUUGAUAAUCUAUGCAAAUCUUUUAAAUAUGACUUUAAACAAUCUACGUCUGCAGAGCUUCUUGCAAUCGAUUCAAGGGAGACUAUCUUGGCCUAAUUUAGAAAAUGUAUUCUUUUGAUAAUCAUGAACAUCCCAGUGCUCCAGACAAUUACUUAUCUGCCUGGAUAAGCUUGAAAUUAUGUUUUUAAUCUUUAAGAAAAAGAAAAAAAAAGUCUCUGAUAUCAUGAAAAGCAUGAAUCGAGGUCUAAAAUAAUUAAAUCGGUUGCACUAAAUCUCAGAUCAAACGUAUCUCUCUCUCAGCUGUGCUUUCUGUGCAGCUUGUUUUAUAUAAGCAGCGAUGUUUGUGUUAUGCAAUCUCUAAUCGCUGUGGAUGAGUGUUCACCACAUGUGCCUUUUGUAUGCAAAACUGUUGGAAUACUAAUAAAAGUUUACAUGGAAAACAA